Molecule: non-coding RNA, 4135 nt
Organism: Zonotrichia albicollis (white-throated sparrow)
Lineage: Eukaryota; Metazoa; Chordata; Aves; Passeriformes; Passerellidae
Source: RefSeq, a predicted model, not a curated record
AAGAUUUGGCUCACUAGGUUUGAAGAGCCAUUCUCAUAUUUGGAUGCUUUUACACAUCCAUGACCACUCUGCAUGUGCUUUAUUCAGCUUCAAAACAAGUGCACCAACACUGCCAAACACACAUGAGAUGAAUGUAAAACACACUCCAAAUAAUCACAGCAUUUAUUUAAUUUGGUGUCUUGUGUGUUGCAGAAACUCUCAGCAGCUGGUUAACCCCAGCAGGAGCAGUGAGAGCCAGGCAGUGCCAGGGUCUGGCUGCCCAGCAGAACCAGCCAGGUCCUGCCUGUCACUGCUGCCAGGUGAGGAUGGGUUAGCAGUGACUCCAACGGUGCAAAUAAAGGAAAAUGGAAAGCAGAUUUAGGCAAUUCUUUCUCCUUUGUGAGUCCUUUAAGUGUAGAAUUCUGUGUUUGUGUGUGCAGGACAUUUUAACUGAGAUUUGUUGAGUAUGAGGAAGGUGGUUCCCUCUCAAGUUAAACAGCUCUGGCCCAAGGGGAAGGAGUAAGGCUCAAGCUGUCCAUUCCUUGUGGCUAUCCCAGUAAAAUACUGAUUUGCUCAGAACUCCUGCUUUAAACAAACAGAAGGGCAAAUAAACAUAGUGAGAAACCUGGUUUGGUCAAAUCUAUGGCAAGAGCUUUUCUCAUUUGCACAUAAGUAACCGGAAUUAUUGUGGACACAGCUUCUAGGAGAACAAAAGCAUCAGCAGUGCUCUUUGGGAACCAGGCUGUUGUCCAGUUUGCACUGCAGUGUGUUCCCUUUACCUGGCACCUGGCUCAAGACCUCCAAAAGUUGUAGGUUAAAGUGAAUUUUCCUACUUUAAAUAUUCAGGGCCUGUCUCCUGGAGCAGAGCUCUCUGGCCCAGCAGCACCACUGCCCCUGCACUCUGCUGUCCUGUGCAGAAGCAGCAGAGCCAGCCGGACUCCUCAGGCCUUGCCCCUGAGCAGCAAGGGCCGCUUUGUUGGCACAGAGAGCUCCCAACUUGGCCUGUGGCUGCAGCCAGGCAGGGAAUGAGCUGGGGGAGAUCUCCAUGUCCAUAAAUCUCGUCCCUUCGUGCUUCCUCACGUGGCAGUCAGUCGGACCUCACUUCUCCUGAGAGACUGUAAAUAUGUGGGGUUUGUUCAUUAACCUGUGCAGUGCCAAGAUGGAGCAGAGAAAUCACCCAGCUUUCAUCAAACAAAGGACGUGGCUGGGGCUCAGGCGAGAGGAACAUAAUGGCUGUUUAUUUUUUCCAGACAGGGACUGGAGCUCACUGGGUUUUUUGGGCUCUUGCUUUGUUUUUGUUUUGCUCCAGCUCUUAAGGAUGAGAAUGUUGUGUCUGACGCGUGUCAGCGAGCAGAGGAGAUUCGGAGCAGAGCUGGGCUCGUCUUGCUCCCCGCUAGAUCUCAUCUGGAACUGCAGAGUGCAGCUCACCUAAAACAGGACACAUGAGGUAAACAGAGUUACUAUGUUUUAAAAUUAUUUCUCAAUACCAUUAGUCUUUUCCAUGUAUGACUGAGGAACAAUGUUUUGUUCACUUCCAACCCAAUCAGCUUCACAGCACAACAGCAUCAAUUUCCAGUACAGUUAAAUUUAUUCCAGUAUGGUCCUGUGAAAUGGUCUGACAUGCUUUCAGCUAAAUGACAAUUUGAUGGGAUGUGAAAACCACAGGAGUCAGGAAGAAGGUAAUAGUCUGUGAGCAGCCCUUAUCUGUCUUGCUACAAGGGCUUGGCUUCACGGGGAACAAAACACAACACUGAGGAACCCAAAGCGAGGAGGGGCUGGGCUGGGUUUCACAGGCAAGCAGAGCAUUCUGGUCUGGUUGCCAGUGACUCUGUUAGAUCAGAGUUUCUCACUUUGCUACCUUGUACAGGCUGGAAGGAACCAAAAAGAAUCCUUCACUAAAGGAGGAAAAUGAUGUGUGUGAAUGGGGAGCUUUAUGUCUCUGAAAAUUAUAAUAAUUAUAAUAAUGUAAUCUACAACCUCUGGUUUGGAAGGAAACAAUCUCAGCACUGAAGUUACCUCAGGCAGAGAGCAGCCAAUGGGAUGGGCUGGAAACAGGAGUUUGUUGUUCAGCUUUGGGGCUGCACUGAGUGUUGGGGUGUCACAGAUGGCACUGCAGAGAUGUCUCAUGCAGAGCACUGAGGUUUAUUCUCCAAGCACCCUUUUAGGCACUGGAUCUCUUGUCUGUGCACAGGCUGUGGCUGCUUUUCACUUUGGCUCUUUCCAAAUGUACAGCAACUUCUGUAUGGUGAUUGCAGCCAAAGCAGUACUACUUACUCAGAAUCACCAGCAACUGUGAUCUAAUAAAAAAACUUUAUUCUCUGUAAAAUGCAUUUUAAAUAAAUAGCAAUCUUUUGACUCUGAGCUCCUGGUAAAGUAUCUUAUAUUAAUGAAAUUAUAAAUAGCAAGUGCCAGUUCUGUGCCAGUUCUAACAGCAUGGGAAAGAACACAUUGUGAAGCAAAACACCAGGUUUUUGUCCCCCAAUUUUGUUGUUUGUUAAGUGAGUGCUUGUGAAAAAGAUAAUUUUGAUUUCAUUGUUCUUCAACUUAAAUACAGCUGCCAUUGAAGCCUUUGCUGUUAUUUCAUCACACAGCCAGGAGAGCACCUGCAGGGACACAUCCUUGGUGGCACAUGUGGGGCUGAGCUGUUUCUGGCUCUGGUGCCUGGGCAGCAGAUCCAGGAACAUUUCUGUGUGUGCAGCUCUGUAAAAUGAGUCUGUUAGCAAAGUUUACCUGAAAACAACAAUAAGGCCAGAUGGCUUCAGCUUUCUGAGAAAGUUCUGUCAAGCAAGGAGUUGCUCUGCAGCUCCCUGUGCUCCCCAGAAUCUUUGCAAAGCUCACAUGAAAUUUUGGUUGGAGUAUCAAAGACAUCUAAAUACACUUCCACCCUGUUCUCAUAUUUUGGUUCUGCUCUGACUUGCACAGAAACACAGGUCUAACACUUUUAUACAGAAUUAAAAUUAUUUAGACUUUUGUUGCACUUUUGAAGUGAUUUAAUUUUGUUUUGAAGCAUUUUCUGGUGUAUGCAGAGUUUACUGACACUGUCCUGACCUUGGAGAUGUGUGAUAUUUUACAGUGUGCAGUGGCAUUUAUGUACCCAGCCUGACUCCAAUAAACAGGUUAAUUUCCACAAAUUAAAGGCCAGGUUUCAAACACAACAAUGGGAUACAAUAAUUCUGUAAUGAUCUUUAGGACUCACAACUGGGGCAGAUGACUGGGCAGUCCUUUGUCAGCUGCAACUUCUACAAUUUUUUUCAUGUAAAUGUUAGAAGUGUUGGGAAAAAAUAGUCAGGUUUGUAUUUUCACAUAACACCAAAACCCUGAAUACAUGGGACAAAUAAUAACUGACAGAUUUAUGAUAAAGAAAUUACUUCAAAUUUUAGAUUAUAUUCUUUGCACAUCCCAAAUUAGUGUCUAUCUAAGUAUCUCCUGAAGUAAAGGUACCUUAAAUGACAGAAUGUACAAUACAAAACCCUUCAUGUCAGGCCAGAGUUAAUAUUCAGACAUUGGAAUAAGAGUCAGGAAUGUCCAACAGCAGAUGCUGGACAAAGAAUUUAUUUUGGUUUUCAAAAUCAAACCAUGCUCCUCUGGAUUUGGAUUUCACUUCAUACAAAUAUCCAAUGGGUAUGUGGUGCUUUGAUUUAUUAAUAUAACUCUUUAAAAGCCAGUGGAAUUCCCCUUUUAUUUGGCCUGAAUUAAUGUAAUUUAAUUGCUGCUAAAUGCCAUAUCAAUCAUCAUUAUACCUGUUUACAUAAAUCAGACAAGAAUAAGAUCUUUUGGCCUUAAAAUAAACUGAAGAACCACAUACCACAUGAUGAAAAUAAGCAAGAGAUACAAACCUGGCAAUGACAAGAAAGCACACUGAAUUUCAAUAUUGUUCUUACAAUUAUCUUGGUUGUCCAAAGAACAGUGUACACAGGUUAUGGUUAGUAGCUAAACUACAAUUUAACUUCAAUUUCCAGAGUCUGAUUCCAAGUUAUUCUUUAUUCUGGUUUUUAAAUAAAGUGUCUGAAGUUACUUCUACUAUGUGUUCUCCUUCUUGGGUAAUCUUUCCAAAGGAUAUGACUCACUUCUCCAUUAUUUGUAAAAAGUAUGGAAAAAAGUAAAAUAUUAUUAUUAUUUUGUGGGCAUUUGGAAAUGGAUGUAAAAAAAAAAAAAA